AUUGUUUUAACACUUCUAGAUCAUAUAUUAGCUAAAGUAAAUGUCAUCUAUAUGGUUAGAGAUAAUACUGUUGUGUCAAAAAUUCUAAACUUAUCAUUUAAGGCAGAAAUUUUGAACUUUCAUUGACACAUAGGCAUACAGUAAGAUGUUGACUGGAGACAGAGGCAGGAUUGUAUACUUUAAAUAAUCUUAAAUGUUGGAAUGAUUGACUGCUAAACAUUACAUUUACAGUAUUCUGAAAUGCUUUCAAUUUGUUAUCAGAACAGUUUUAAACAAGUUUUAGGCAUUCCAUGUCAGAAAACAUGCAAAAAGGUUAAGCUGUCAAUUAUUAAAGUCUUGUUUUUUAAAUUGUUAAAAAAAAACUGAAACAGGGGAGGAAGUAUACAAAGUAAAGUAAAAGAAAACUUAGAGUAUAUGCGAUGAUUUCUUUAAGGCUGUAAUUCUGAUAAGUAAGUAUUAAUGUGAGAAAAAGUGUUUUUAGAGAUUUUUCUAUUUGAAUACAUGUCUGUUUAGGUUGCACUUUGUAAAUACAGCUGUUUCUCAAAACACGCCUCUUUUACCAAGUCAGGAAUAUGACAGUUCUUGUCCAUUCAUUUUUGAUGCGUUUUGUUAUUUGAUUUUGCCAUGUGAUUAUGGACUUUCCGAAUUGAUUUUCCUCUGAGUUCAGUAUUUUUGUGAUUUUACUUUUUUGUAAAUACAGCUGUUUCUCAAACCACACCUCUUUUGGAGAGAUAUAGAAUAUUUACAGAUAAUUUUAUUUGUUUACAUUUUCCCAGUUAUGAUCUCUAUGUUUCAUCUCAUAUAGACAUAACUUGGAAAUGCUACCAGUAAAUAUACACAUGCAUAUUGUUUAUAUUGAAAUCUAAGGUAAUCCUACAGAUAAGGUAGGGGUCGUUUAAACUCUUAGAAGUUCGAGGUAUAUAAACAUUGGAA
This 933-nucleotide long non-coding RNA is filed under the name Mytilus galloprovincialis (Mediterranean mussel). Lineage: Eukaryota; Metazoa; Mollusca; Bivalvia; Mytilida; Mytilidae. The record is from RNAcentral.